RNAcentral lists this unclassified non-coding RNA (415 nucleotides) under Hevea brasiliensis (rubber tree). The record is from RNAcentral. Lineage: Eukaryota; Viridiplantae; Streptophyta; Magnoliopsida; Malpighiales; Euphorbiaceae.
GGGCUCUUGGGGACGAAGCCAUCGAGCUAGCUGUACUCAGGGUCUUGCUCUCUGCCAUUCGAUCUCCCUACGUGCUUGUCAGAGGUGAUUGCCUUGUCCAUAUUGUUAGGUCUUGUUACAAUGUCUAUCUCGGGGGAAUGAAUGGCACCAAUCAGAUCUGUGCCAAGUCCGUUCUUGCUCAGAUGAUGAUAAUUGUUUUCACCAGAGUGGAGGAGAAUUCCAUGAUAGUGGACUUCAAGACCGUCUCUGUAGCUGAACUCUUGGAGUUCACGGAUAGAAAUUUGAACGAGGGAAGCUCCAUACAGAUCGCCCAGAAUUUCCUCAAUGAGAUUGUGGAUGUCAAGUCCAAAGAAGGCAUUGCUGAAUCAAAGUUGUGUUUGCAGUUGGAGAAUGACAACAGUGAAAAGAAGGGUGA